Molecule: ribosomal RNA, 1305 nt
Filed under: Bifidobacterium sp.
Lineage: Bacteria; Bacillati; Actinomycetota; Actinomycetes; Bifidobacteriales; Bifidobacteriaceae
Description: bacterial SSU rRNA
Rfam family: Bacterial small subunit ribosomal RNA
Source: RNAcentral
AUGGCUGUCACGCAGCUUGGGAAACUGCCUGAUGGAGGGGGAUUCCUGGAAACGGGUGGUAAUGCCGGAUGUUCCACAUGAUCGCAUGUGAUUGUGGGAAAGAUUCUAUCGGCGUGGGAUGGGGCCGCGUCCUAUCAGCUUGUUGGUGAGGAAACGGCUCACCAAGGCUUCGAGGGGUAGCCGGCCUGAGAGGGCGACCGGCCACAUUGGGACUGAGAUACGGCCCAGACUCCUACGGGAGGCAGCAGUGGGGAAUAUUGCACAAUGGGCGCAAGCCUGAUGCAGCGACGCCGCGUGAGGGAUGGAGGCCUUCGGGUUGUAAACCUCUUUUGUUUGGGAGCAAGCCUUCGGGUGAGUGUACCUUUCGAAUAAGCGCCGGCUAACUACGUGCCAGCAGCCGCGGUAAUACGUAGGGCGCAAGCGUUAUCCGGAUUUAUUGGGCGUAAAGGGCUCGUAGGCGGCUCGUCGCGUCCGGUGUGAAAGUCCAUCGCUUAACGGUGGAUCUGCGCCGGGUACGGGCGGGCUGGAGUGCGGUAGGGGAGACUGGAAUUCCCGGUGUAACGGUGGAAUGUGUAGAUAUCGGGGAAGAACACCAAUGGCGAAGGCAGGUCUCUGGGCCGUCACUGACGCUGAGGAGCGAAAGCGUGGGGAGCGAACAGGAUUAGAUACCCUGGUAGUCCACGCCGUAAACGGUGGACGCUGGAUGUGGGGCACGUUCCACGUGUUCCGUGUCGGAGCUAACGCGUUAAGCGUCCCGCCUGGGGAGUACGGCCGCAAGGCUAAAACUCAAAGAAAUUGACGGGGCCCCGCACAAGCGGCGGAGCAUGCGGAUUAAUUCGAUGCAACGCGAAGAACCUUACCUGGGCUUGACAUGUUCCCGACGACGCCAGAGAUGGCGUUUCCCUAAUACCGGUGGGCGAAUGGCUCGGGGCGGGUUCACAGGUGGUGCAUGGUCGUCGUCAGCUCGUGUCGUGAGAUGUUGGGUUAAGUCCCGCAACGAGCGCAACCCUCGCCCCGUGUUGCCAGCACGUUAUGGUGGGAACUCACGGGGAGCGGUGAGACCGCCGGGGUUAACUCGGAGGAAGGUGGGGAUGACGUCAGAUCAUCAUGCCCCUUACGUCCUGGACUUCACUCAUGCUCCAAUGGCGGUUCAACGGGAUGCCACAAGGCGACCUGGCGGCGAUCUUGAAAACCCAACUCAGUUCGGAUCCGACCAGCCAACCCGGUUCCAGAAUGCGGAGUCGGUAAGUAUCGCGGAUCAGCAAUGCCGCGGUGAAUGGGUUACAAUACCGGUGGGCGAAUGGC